This is a long non-coding RNA of Homo sapiens (human), 777 nucleotides long. Lineage: Eukaryota; Metazoa; Chordata; Mammalia; Primates; Hominidae. The record is from Ensembl.
CUUCCUGGGCAGAGGGUCAUGUAGUGGAAUAGAGCUGUACCUGGCUUCAGGCGAGACUUGGAGCUCAAAACUUUCAGUAGGACAGCCAGGCGCGGUGGCUGAUGCCUGUAAUCCCAGCACUUUGGGAGGCCGAGGUGGGCGGAUCACGAGGUCAGGAGAUCAAGACCAUCCUGGCUAACACGAUUCUUGUGCUGUCACUCAGGCUGGAGUGCAACGUUGAAAUCUCGGCUCACUGCAACUUCUGCCUCCCGGAUUCAGGCAAUUCUUGUGUCUCAGCCUCCUAAGAAGCUGAGAUUACAGCAACUCCAAAAUGGAAGUACUAUUGUUAUCUCCGUUUACAAAUUAGGAAACUGAGGCACAGAUAUGCUCUUGGGUACUUGUCAGCAGCAGUUGUUCUACAAGCUAAAUAUCUGGAUAUCUUAAAUCUCAGAUGAGCGUCUUAGCCUCUGGAUUACUGCUCAAUGAGGAAAGCUAUGAAAUGCAUGGAUAACUUGCUAAUCAGUAUUUGCCAUAUGUGCUAGCAGCAUCAGCAUCAGUUGGGAGAUUAUGGUGGCCUCCAUGUCAGACCUCCUAAAUCGGAAUAUCAGAGAAGGUGGCCCAGGUUACCAUGCUUCAUCUGCCAAUGCAUUGAAAACUUGGAAUGUAAAUUAAUUCAACCAUUGUGGAAGAUGGUGUAGUGAUUCCUCAAAGACCUAGAAGCAGAAAUAUCAUUUGAUCCAGAAAUCCCAUUACUGUGUAUACACCCAAAGGAAUAUAAACCAUUCUAUUACAAAGAUA